Molecule: small RNA, 894 nt
Filed under: Pongo abelii (Sumatran orangutan)
Lineage: Eukaryota; Metazoa; Chordata; Mammalia; Primates; Hominidae
Description: retained intron
Source: RNAcentral
CGGAUCGCGGGCUCGGGCUGCGGGGCUCCGGCUGCGGGCGCUGGGCCGCGAGGCGCGGAGCUUGGGAGCGCAGCCCAGGCCGUGCCGCGCGGCGCCAUGAAGGGCAAGGAGGAGAAGGAGGGCGGCGCACGGCUGGGCGCUGGCGGCGGAAGCCCCGAGAAGAGCCCGAGCGCGCAGGAGCUCAAGGAGCAGGGCAACCGUCUGUUCGUGGGCCGAAAGUACCCGGAGGCGGCGGCUUGCUACGGCCGCGCGAUCACCCGGAACCCGCUGGUGGCCGUGUAUUACACCAACCGGGCCUUGUGCUACCUGAAGAUGCAGCAGCACGAGCAGGCCCUGGCCGACUGCCGGCGCGCCCUGGAGCUGGACGGGCAGUCUGUGAAGGCGCACUUCUUCCUGGGGCAGUGCCAGCUGGAGAUGGAGAGCUAUGAUGAGGCCAUCGCCAAUCUGCAGCGAGCUUACAGCCUGGCCAAGGAGCAGCGGCUGAACUUCGGGGACGACAUCCCCAGCGCUCUUCGAAUCGCGAAGAAGAAGCGCUGGAACAGUAUUGAGGAGCGGCGCAUCCACCAGGAGAGCGAGUUGCACUCCUACCUCUCCAGGCUCAUUGCCGCGGAGCGUGAGAGGGAGCUGGAAGAAUGCCAGCGAAACCACGAGGGUGAUGAGGACGACAGCCACGUCCGGGCCCAGCAGGCCUGCAUUGAGGCCAAGCACGUGAGGAUGCCCCCCACCCACAUGUGGGUCUGUGUGUGUGCACGUGGCGUGGAAGCAUCCCCGCCUUGUGUUGGGUCUGUGCCCCAUGGAGGAGGGAGGUUGGGUGUCUCCCCCAAGCGCAGCACUCAACUCUUCACAGGACAAGUACAUGGCGGACAUGGACGAGCUCUUUUCUCAGGUGGACGA